AACGCACGAGACCUGCGGACCUGCGGAGGGAUCAUUACCGAGUGAGGGUCCCUAGGGCCCAACCUCCCACCCGUGUUUACUACACCCUGUUGCUUCGGCGGGCCCGCCGCUCGUCGGCCGCCGGGGGGCCCUACAGCCCCCGGGCCCGUGCCCGCCGGAGACCCCAACAUGAACCCUGUUCUGAAAGCUUGCAGUCUGAGUAGAUUCUUGUAAUCAGUUAAAACUUUCAACAAUGGAUCU
This 240-nucleotide unclassified non-coding RNA is filed under the name soil metagenome. RNAcentral's name for it is "partial contains 5.8S ribosomal RNA, internal transcribed spacer 2, and large subunit ribosomal RNA". The record is from RNAcentral.